UACAGGGGGGGCAAGCGUUGUUCGGAAUUACUGGGCGUAGGGGGCUUGUAGGUGGCCAACUAAGUCACACGUGAAAUCCCCAGGCUUAACCUGGGAACUGCGUGUGAUACUGGAUGGCUUGAAUCCGGGAGAGGGAUGCGGAAUUCCAGGUGUAGCGGUGAAAUGCGUAGAUAUCUGGAGGAACACCGGUGGCGAAGGCGGCAUCCUGGACCGGUAUUGACACUGAAAAGCGAAAGCCAGGGGAGCAAACGGG
Molecule: ribosomal RNA, 253 nt
Filed under: uncultured bacterium
Lineage: Bacteria
Description: partial 16S ribosomal RNA
Rfam family: Bacterial small subunit ribosomal RNA
Source: RNAcentral